GCCGGGUGUGAUGGCACGUGCCUGUAGUCCCAGGCUGAGGCUGGAGGAUCUCUGGAGUCCAGUAGUUCUGGGCUGUAGUGCGCUAUGCCAAUCGGAUGUCUGCACUAAGUUCAGCAUCAAUAUGGUGACCUCCCAGGAUUGAGGGACCAUCAAGUUGCCUAAGGAGGGGUGAACUGGCCCAGGUCGAAACGGAGCAGGUCAAAACUCCCGUGCUGAUCAGUAGUGGGAUCGCGCCUGUGAAUGGCCACUGCACUCCAGCCUGGGCAACAUAGCAAGACCCCCGUCUCU
This is an unclassified non-coding RNA of Callithrix jacchus (white-tufted-ear marmoset), 288 nucleotides long. It matches the Rfam family "Metazoan signal recognition particle RNA". Rfam says of the family: The signal recognition particle (SRP) is a universally conserved ribonucleoprotein. Lineage: Eukaryota; Metazoa; Chordata; Mammalia; Primates; Cebidae. The record is from Ensembl.